This 270-nucleotide ribosomal RNA is filed under the name uncultured archaeon. RNAcentral's name for it is "partial 16S ribosomal RNA". It matches the Rfam family "Archaeal small subunit ribosomal RNA", at positions 477 to 747 of the family's 1478-position model. The record is from RNAcentral.
CAGCACCCCAAGUGGUCAGGAUGAUUAUUGGGCCUAAAGCAUCCGUAGCCGGCUCUGUAAGUUUUCGGUUAAAUCUGUACGCUCAACGUACAGGCUGCCGGGAAUACUGCAGAGCUAGGGAGUGGGAGAGGUAGACGGUACUCGGUAGGAAGGGGUAAAAUCCUUUGAUCUAUUGAUGACCACCUGUGGCGAAGGCGGUCUACCAGAACACGUCCGACGGUGAGGGAUGAAAGCUGGGGGAGCAAACCGGAUUAGAUACCCGUGUAGUCC